RNAcentral lists this ribosomal RNA (497 nucleotides) under uncultured bacterium. RNAcentral describes it as "partial 16S ribosomal RNA". It matches the Rfam family "Bacterial small subunit ribosomal RNA", at positions 28 to 507 of the family's 1533-position model. The record is from RNAcentral.
GAUGAACGCUGGCGGCGUGCCUAAUACAUGCAAGUCGAGCGAACAGACGAGGAGCUUGCUCCUCUGACGUUAGCGGCGGACGGGUGAGUAACACGUGGAUAACCUACCUAUAAGACUGGGAUAACUUCGGGAAACCGGAGCUAAUACCGGAUAAUAUAUUGAACCCCAUGGUUCAAUAGUGAAAGACGGUUUUGCUGUCACUUAUAGAUGGAUCCGCGCCGCAUUAGCUAGUUGGUAAGGUAACGGCUUACCAAGGCAACGAUGCGUAGCCGACCUGAGAGGGUGAUCGGCCACACUGGAACUGAGACACGGUCCAGACUCCUACGGGAGGCAGCAGUAGGGAAUCUUCCGCAAUGGGCGAAAGCUUGACGGAGCAACGCCGCGUGAGUGAUGAAGGUCUUCGGAUCGUAAAACUCUGUUAUUAGGGAAGAACAAAUGUGUAAGUAACUAUGCACGUCUUGACGGUACCUAAUCAGAAAGCCACGGCUAACUACGUG